This 73-nucleotide transfer RNA is filed under the name Buchnera aphidicola (Sarucallis kahawaluokalani). RNAcentral's name for it is "tRNA-Trp". It matches the Rfam family "tRNA". From Rfam's summary of the family: Transfer RNA (tRNA) molecules are approximately 80 nucleotides in length. Their secondary structure includes four short double-helical elements and three loops (D, anti-codon, and T loops). Further hydrogen bonds mediate the characteristic L-shaped molecular structure. tRNAs have two regions of fundamental functional importance: the anti-codon, which is responsible for specific mRNA codon recognition, and the 3' end, to which the tRNAs corresponding amino acid is attached (by aminoacyl-tRNA synthetases). tRNAs cope with the degeneracy of the genetic code in two manners: having more than one tRNA (with a specific anti-codon) for a particular amino acid; and 'wobble' base-pairing, i.e. permitting non-standard base-pairing at the 3rd anti-codon position. The record is from RNAcentral. Lineage: Bacteria; Pseudomonadati; Pseudomonadota; Gammaproteobacteria; Enterobacterales; Erwiniaceae.
AGGGAUGUAACUCAAUUGGUAGAGUAUCGGUCUCCAAAACCGAAAGUUAAGGGUUCAAGUCCCUUCAUCCCUG